RNA transcript from Oreochromis niloticus (Nile tilapia), 1565 nucleotides. It is a transcript of the gene named sodium/bile acid cotransporter, with no coding region annotated. The transcript has 10 exons. Lineage: Eukaryota; Metazoa; Chordata; Actinopteri; Cichliformes; Cichlidae. The record is from RefSeq and is a predicted model, not a curated record.
GUCAACACAAAAGAGUUGAUUUUAUGACAAAGAGACGAGAGACGAGGAAAGGAAGAAUCUGGCCCAGCAGUGCAUCACUCUGACCUAAUGAGCAGCAAACAUAGAACCAGCUGCAAAAAGCCAAAGUCAGCUGUCACUGACUGCAUUGCACACUACUAUAUUCAAAUAAAGCAAGCCUCAAGGUUAAAACAGGUCUGAUUUGAAGGCACCAUGGAUCACACAGUGGAUAUCAUCUCCGAUCCAGAUCCGUGGCUCAACACAACAACUGCAAACAGCACGUCCAGUUACAGGCCUACCAUGUCACCAGUAAUGGACAAAACCAUCAACAUAAUUAUGAUAAUCGUCUUAUUCGUGACCAUGAUUUCACUGGGAUGCACCAUGGAGGUGUCCAAGAUCAAGCAUCAUAUGAGGAAACCUAAAGGGGUGGCUAUCGCAGUCGUGGCCCAGUAUGGCAUCAUGCCUCUCACAGCUUUUUGUUUAGCUAAGCUGUUUAAGUUGGCUGAAAUAGCAGCUGUGGUGAUUCUGAUCUGUGGCUGCUGUCCUGGAGGAGCUCUCUCCAACAUCCUGGCUCUGGCUCUGCAGGGCGACAUGAACCUCAGCAUCGUGAUGACCUCCUGCUCGACGUUGCUGGCUCUCGGUAUGAUGCCUCUCCUGCUCUACCUCUACUGCCAGGGUUUCUCCGACCUGCAGAACGCUGUCCCUUAUGUUGAAAUUAUGAUAUCACUGGUCAUGAUCCUUGUGCCGUGCGGCAUCGGCAUCAUCAUCAAUACCUACAGGCCGCAGUACUCGAGGAUCAUCACAAAGUUCCCCCUGUGUUGCCACCUGUUCCUCUUUCCGUCAUGUUCCUGUCUGUGUAUUUAUAGUGUGUGUCAUCUCGUCCUCGUUGCUGGAUCGUCUGUUGAAUCUCCCUGUGAAUUCUCCCUGCGCUGUUCUCCCUGCUCGUUGUCUCCACUUGUGUUUUCCCUCGCAUUCAGGCUACUCCUUUGGAUAUGUCCUCUCUGCGAUCUUCAGACUCAGCCAGGCGGAGCGGAGGACUGUUUCUGUGGAAACAGGCUGUCAGAACAUCCAGCUGUGCAUCACCAUAUUGAAGAUAGCUUUCCCCCCAGGAAGUGAUAGGCCCUCUGUUUCUGUUCCCAAUGAUCUAUGCGUCUUUUCAGGGGGACGGAGGCAUUGGUGCUCAUCGUGCUGUUUAGGUGCUACCAAAGAUUCACGAAAAAGGAGAAAGAGACUUACCAGCCUGCGGUCACUGAAGAGGAGCUGAAAGAGACGACUGAGGGGACUGUGUGACCUCAAUCACCACCCAUGUAUUUUUCUAUUAAUGUGAACUUUUACACCACAGCGGCUCCAGACGAAGUAAACAAAACUCCUACAGCUGACUAAACAAGCAGAAAAAUGUGCAGCUGUAUAGCUUGUCAUGAUUUUUAUACUGUAUUGUGAUGUGAAACCUCUAAGUGCAUUAGAAACUUCAGUUAUUUCAGUUUUUUAUUGGUUAAGUCUGUUGUCUUUCUACACCAUGCAAACAUCAUCAUAGUUUUGACUGAAAAUAAAAUCCUCAUGUACAAAAA